AACAGGGGUCAAGAAUUUGCCCUGAAACGGAGACGUGAAUAGUCAGUUGGUCACCAAAUCUCGAAAGGAUAAGUCAUAGAAAGAGCCAGUCAGAAGCAGAUCAAGGAAAGAGAAGAAUGAUUUUGUCUACAGAAAUUUUUGCAUCUUCUAAAAUAUACUUUUGUAAAUCCCGUCUUGAACUGCUAGUAAAUAAACCUUUUAAGACUCUGUUAAAAGAGAGGACAUUCAGUGUGUGCCACAGUAAGGAAGAAGACGUCAACCAUCACAUUCAAGAAGAGGAAAAAAAAGUGAAGAAGAGACAUUGUACGGACUUUGCCAAUAAAACCAAUUGUAUUGCUAGGGCAUUUCCAUCUAAGUGAAAGGUAUUUAUCCUCCAUAUACAGCCAGAGUUUGUGUGUUCUUGUAAACUCUCUCUCUUUAAUAAAGGACGUUGUUUGUUGUAUAAAUGUAGUCUCUGUACCUGUG
This 465-nucleotide long non-coding RNA is filed under the name Androctonus crassicauda. Lineage: Eukaryota; Metazoa; Arthropoda; Arachnida; Scorpiones; Buthidae. The record is from RNAcentral.